ACGUGUUGUUUUCCUAUUACUGACAGUUGUCAACGUUGUGGCGGUAGCACUAGCAGCGACCACGUCCUUCUUCUCAUCAAUGGUACCCGUUGGCGUCAUUGUACCAUUGCUGACUAGUUUGCUCUCGUUGGUGACUAAAGUAGCAGUAGAAUCAGAAAUAGAGGUAGAAGUAGAAGUAGAACUCGUUGUAGUAGUAGUAGUAUUGUUAACUCCAGUGCAAUGCGUGUUCUCCUGAACUGGAAACCUCUCCAUGAUGAUGCUGUUACUAUGCUGCUGAAAUGGCAUGCAUGCGACACCUCCAUCGCCCAUGGAAAUCCCACCUGAAGAACAAUUCGCUCCAAACCCUAAUUCCCCCUUCUCCCGGGGCUGUCGAUGCUCAUGCUGCACAAAUUCCCUUCCCAAAUCCCGUUCCGUCCCUUCCUUCCUUCUCCACCAGAAAUUCAACGCUCCUUCCCCUCUCGACAAAUCUGCAAACACACACGAAGAAGAAGAAGAAUAAGCCAAACAAAUCAAUACAAAACACAAUGUUAAACUGUCUCGGAAGAGCGGAAACUGGAUAACAACAACCCAAUUAAAAACCAAGCUGUAAUCAGUCCAGCUCUCUACCGCAAACCUCUAGGGUUUCCGAAUGAGAGAAAAAGAAAGUACACAACAGAGAGGGAUGGAGAAAUUAAAUUACCAGGAGGAAUCCUCGAGAGCUUGGAAAAGCACGGCAGAUCGGAAACCCUCGUUGAGAGUUCUUAUUGAAUUCGCAGAGAGAAAGAGAGAGACUUGUGUUUGAAACACAGAUCGAACUCUGAGAAAACUGAAAGCCCAAAUUUUUUUCCCUCUUCUUCCCUUUGUUAAAUAGUUUGUUUGUUGAGCUUAUUAAUACCUCUUGUUCUUCUUCUUCAUCUUCGUUGUGGCUCUCUGAAACGAAAACCUUCGCUUUGUAAUUUUCUUUUUUACUUUUCUUUUUUGAGUUUA
RNAcentral lists this long non-coding RNA (966 nucleotides) under Linum usitatissimum (flax). Its description in RNAcentral is "long non-coding RNA (LUSI_LNC002980)". Lineage: Eukaryota; Viridiplantae; Streptophyta; Magnoliopsida; Malpighiales; Linaceae. The record is from RNAcentral.